AUGGUCAUCCAGGGAGAGGCUGGAGCUGUCAUCCGUGGAAAGAAGGGAUCUGGAGGUAUUACUAUAAAGAAGACUGGUCAAGCCCUAGUUUUUGGCAUCUAUGAAGAGCCUGUGACACCAGGACAGUGCAACAUGGUGGUUGAGAGGUUGGGGGAUUACCUUAUUGACCAGGGCCUGUAGGCCAAGCUCUAUCAUCAUUUGAGUAAUAUCUUUUGGGGCUUAAUUGUUUUUUUUUUUUUUUCUUCCUUUUUCUUAUUCCCUUUUGAUUUCGGUUCCAAGUGUGCAUCGAUCUUCAUUUGAAAGCCUUAAAUUGGCAGUGAAGUUGUUGCAGACAAUAACCAUGUGAGAACUAAAACAUUUGUCUUGUGUUUGGUUGUUUGAAUUGCGUUACCUUGAUAUUCUAUCGAUUUUUGCGUAAUACUACUUGCAAUUUUUUC
Molecule: non-coding RNA, 437 nt
Organism: Corylus avellana
Lineage: Eukaryota; Viridiplantae; Streptophyta; Magnoliopsida; Fagales; Betulaceae
Source: RefSeq, a predicted model, not a curated record